RNAcentral lists this ribosomal RNA (1468 nucleotides) under Microbacterium arborescens. RNAcentral describes it as "16S ribosomal RNA". It matches the Rfam family "Bacterial small subunit ribosomal RNA". The record is from RNAcentral. Lineage: Bacteria; Bacillati; Actinomycetota; Actinomycetes; Micrococcales; Microbacteriaceae.
GAUGAACGCUGGCGGCGUGCUUAACACAUGCAAGUCGAACGGUGAAGCAGAGCUUGCUCUGUGGAUCAGUGGCGAACGGGUGAGUAACACGUGAGCAAUCUGCCCCUGACUCUGGGAUAAGCGCUGGAAACGGCGUCUAAUACCGGAUACGAGCUGCGACCGCAUGGUCAGUAGCUGGAAAGAAUUUCGGUCAGGGAUGAGCUCGCGGCCUAUCAGCUUGUUGGUGAGGUAAUGGCUCACCAAGGCGUCGACGGGUAGCCGGCCUGAGAGGGUGACCGGCCACACUGGGACUGAGACACGGCCCAGACUCCUACGGGAGGCAGCAGUGGGGAAUAUUGCACAAUGGGCGCAAGCCUGAUGCAGCAACGCCGCGUGAGGGAUGACGGCCUUCGGGUUGUAAACCUCUUUUAGCAGGGAAGAAGCGAAAGUGACGGUACCUGCAGAAAAAGCGCCGGCUAACUACGUGCCAGCAGCCGCGGUAAUACGUAGGGCGCAAGCGUUAUCCGGAAUUAUUGGGCGUAAAGAGCUCGUAGGCGGUCUGUCGCGUCUGCUGUGAAAACCCGAGGCUCAACCUCGGGCCUGCAGUGGGUACGGGCAGACUAGAGUGCGGUAGGGGAGAUUGGAAUUCCUGGUGUAGCGGUGGAAUGCGCAGAUAUCAGGAGGAACACCGAUGGCGAAGGCAGAUCUCUGGGCCGUAACUGACGCUGAGGAGCGAAAGGGUGGGGAGCAAACAGGCUUAGAUACCCUGGUAGUCCACCCCGUAAACGUUGGGAACUAGUUGUGGGGUCCAUUCCACGGAUUCCGUGACGCAGCUAACGCAUUAAGUUCCCCGCCUGGGGAGUACGGCCGCAAGGCUAAAACUCAAAGGAAUUGACGGGGACCCGCACAAGCGGCGGAGCAUGCGGAUUAAUUCGAUGCAACGCGAAGAACCUUACCAAGGCUUGACAUAUAGAGGAAACGUCUGGAAACAGUCGCCCCGCAAGGUCUCUAUACAGGUGGUGCAUGGUUGUCGUCAGCUCGUGUCGUGAGAUGUUGGGUUAAGUCCCGCAACGAGCGCAACCCUCGUUCUAUGUUGCCAGCACGUAAUGGUGGGAACUCAUGGGAUACUGCCGGGGUCAACUCGGAGGAAGGUGGGGAUGACGUCAAAUCAUCAUGCCCCUUAUGUCUUGGGCUUCACGCAUGCUACAAUGGCCGGUACAAAGGGCUGCAAUACCGUGAGGUGGAGCGAAUCCCAAAAAGCCGGUCCCAGUUCGGAUUGAGGUCUGCAACUCGACCUCAUGAAGUCGGAGUCGCUAGUAAUCGCAGAUCAGCAACGCUGCGGUGAAUACGUUCCCGGGUCUUGUACACACCGCCCGUCAAGUCAUGAAAGUCGGUAACACCUGAAGCCGGUGGCCCAACCCUUGUGGAGGGAGCCGUCGAAGGUGGGAUCGGUAAUUAGGACUAAGUCGUAACAAGGUAGCCGUACCGA